GUGCAAGCCUGAGAAGCAGUGAGGACCCCAUGAAGCUGAAGGACAGGCCGAUCCCCCGAUAGACGAUUAGAUCUGGCUGGAGCAGAUUCAGAAAACCUCUUAUCUCCCCCAGGCGGAUGAUGUGCCCACCGACCACAUCAGCCACGUGAGAUCCAGUGCGACAGUGGAGCAUGUGUGCGCAGAGGAGACAGGAACAACAACCGGGAUGUCAUGCGGGCGCACUGGGGCUCCUUGUGGCCCCAGUGCACAGAAUUCUGGUGGACCCACCAUGUGUGGGAGCUCAGUGAGACUCAAAGCCCUCCUCACACAUCGUACGCUGAAGGUGGAGCACACUGGGAAAAUGUGCAUGCAUCAAGAAGAAAAAUGAAAACUGAUUUUGUGCAACAUUUCCACUGUUCUUGGAAGAAUGAAAUAAAUGCAUAUGAGCUAUGAAAUAUGGAUUGUAUAAUUCUAGUGAUUCUGCAUAUAAGUCAGAUGAUCUUAUUGAAAAUUGGCAUUGUACAAUAUAAAGAUGAACAGAAGAGUUCAUACUAAUAAUUUAAAAUUUUAAUUCUUCCUUUUUAGAAGAACAUGGGCAGAUUAAAAAUACCACCACACAUCAGGAAAGAAACCAGAAAAGAAAGAAAACAGCUUUCUAUUUUAAUGCUUUUAACAGUACUUAUGUCUGCUUUUUGAAAAGGAGCCCCACAGAUUAAGUACCCAGUCCUGGGCACGGGAAUACCCUGGGAUUGCUUUACAACCUCAAUUAGCUCUCCUCUCCUCCAACUGGUACCCUGAGAAAGACUUGGGUCCAUGCCACCAUCAUCUCUGGCCUGGACUCCUAAUUGGCCUCCCCGCUUCCCUCCUGAUGCUUCCCAGUCCAUUUGUCACUCAGCUGCCCAGAACAACCUAUUCAAAAGGCAGACCUGAUCUUGUUGAUGGUCCCUUCCAUACCCUCCCUGAUUAUAACUCUUCCCACCCCACUCAAAAUAAAUCCAACCAAGGUCUACAAAAUCUACCUCGUCUGCACACCCCACUGGCCUUGCCCUCACUCCAUACCCAGCCCCACUGGCCAACUUGCAGAUAAUCAAAGGUGCCGCAAUCCAUCCGGCCACAAAGCCUAGCACUUGUCCUGUGCCCUCUUUCUGAAACACUCCCCUGUCUCCCCACCUAGUUACUGCCCCUUAGCCCAUUAGAUUCUCCAUGAAGGGUCACUUCCUCAGGGAAGCAGUCUCCUCGCAUUCCCUAUCCACCCCAGGGGUACACUCUCAUAGCUCCCCAGAAUUCCC
This 1268-nucleotide long non-coding RNA is filed under the name Homo sapiens (human). RNAcentral describes it as "HSALNT0095635". Lineage: Eukaryota; Metazoa; Chordata; Mammalia; Primates; Hominidae. The record is from RNAcentral.